UCGAUGAAGAACGCAGCGAAAUGCGAUAAGUAAUGCGAAUUGCAGAAUUCAGUGAGUCAUCGAAUCUUUGAACGCACAUUGCGCCCUGUGGUAUUCCGCAGGGCAUGCCUGUUCGAGCGUCAUUUCAACCCUCAAGCUCUGCUUGGUGUUGGGCCACGCCCCCGCGGCCGGCCCCAAAGCCAGUGGCGGUACCGCCCGGCUCUAAGCGUAGUACACCUCUCGCUCUAGAGCCCGGCGGUUCCCUGCCAGAACCUACACUCUUAUGGUUGACCUCGGAUCAGGUAGGGAUACCCGCUGAACUUAA
This 304-nucleotide ribosomal RNA is filed under the name uncultured Oidiodendron. RNAcentral describes it as "eukaryotic LSU rRNA". The stretch from base 1 to 122 matches the Rfam family "5.8S ribosomal RNA", at positions 33 to 154 of the family's 154-position model. Lineage: Eukaryota; Fungi; Ascomycota; Leotiomycetes; Myxotrichaceae. The record is from RNAcentral.